Molecule: transfer RNA, 94 nt
Filed under: Actinomycetales bacterium
Lineage: Bacteria; Bacillati; Actinomycetota; Actinomycetes; Actinomycetales
Also listed under: 1 other name
Description: tRNA-Ser
Rfam family: tRNA
About the family: Transfer RNA (tRNA) molecules are approximately 80 nucleotides in length. Their secondary structure includes four short double-helical elements and three loops (D, anti-codon, and T loops).
Source: RNAcentral
GGAGGCGUCGCCUAGUCCGGUCGAUGGCGCCCGCCUGCUAAGCGGGUUGGGGUCUCAAAGCCCCUCGCGAGUUCAAAUCUCGCCGCCUCCGCCA